AAUAAUAGCCCCUAAACACAAGAGUAGUAAUGUUGGCAAUUUGGGUAUGCCAAAGAAAAGUCAUAAAGUGCUUCUUUUAAGUGAAAAUGUGAAAGUUUUUGAAUUAGUAAGGAAAGAAAAAAAUCCAUAUGCCGAGGUCGCUAAGAUCCAUGAUAAGAAUGAAUCUUCUACCUGUGAAAUUGUGAAGGAAAAAGAAAUUCAUGUUAGUUUUGCUGUUGUACCUCAAACUGCAAAAGUUAUGGCCACAGCGUAUAACUUUUAUUAAAAUAUAUUUGUGUAACUGUUCUAUCUUAUUUUACCUUUCUGUUUUAUUUUUAGAGACAAGGCUUCAUUCUGUCAACCAGGCUGGAGUGCAAUGGUGCAAUAAUAGCUCACUGCAGCCUCAAACUCUUUGGCUCAAGUGAUCUUCCUGCCUCAGCCUCCCAAGUAGCUGGGACUGCAAUGCCAUCUUCUGCUCUUCUCUGCUAGACUCUGUGCCUCAAAAGGUGGAAUUUUUCAUAAACUAUUCCAGCUGGGGUCUCAUGCCAGUUGGUUUUGACCAAUGGGUAACACCAUCAGUAAGUUGGAGGAUGGAAAAGGAAAAAAGGUUAGGAUAUGUCUCACCACCUCUUUUCCUGCUUCUGGCUGGGUUCUGAUGGUGGCUUUGUCCCUCGAAGGCUCCUCCUGCAAGGCAGCCCUGCUCCACUGCGCCAGCCUUCACUGGGUUCUGCUAACGUGAUUCCCUCCUCUUAUUUCUUCAGGCCUAGCUGUGCUAACUCCUGGGUACCUCCAUGUUUCUCCUUGUUUCCUUUCAUCCAACCCUAACCCUAACUUCUAUAAAUAGUUCCUGCAAUAAAAUCUCUUCAGCUGAAA
This is a long non-coding RNA of Symphalangus syndactylus (siamang), 852 nucleotides long. RefSeq lists it as uncharacterized. The record is from RefSeq and is a predicted model, not a curated record. NCBI's taxonomy places the organism in Eukaryota, Metazoa, Chordata, Mammalia, Primates, Hylobatidae.